Molecule: transfer RNA, 68 nt
Filed under: Marmota monax (woodchuck)
Lineage: Eukaryota; Metazoa; Chordata; Mammalia; Rodentia; Sciuridae
Description: tRNA.Ala
Source: RNAcentral
GGGGUGUAGCUCAGUGGUAGGGCACUUGCCUAGCAUUCAUGAAUGCUGGGUUCAACCCUCAGACCACA